Molecule: long non-coding RNA, 686 nt
Organism: Pieris napi
Lineage: Eukaryota; Metazoa; Arthropoda; Insecta; Lepidoptera; Pieridae
Exons: 2
Source: RefSeq, a predicted model, not a curated record
AACAAAAGAAAAACAAAAAAAACGUAGAUGCUGGGUUCGUCCUAGCAUACCUAUCAAUAACGUGUUUUAUUAUAACACUCAGUGUCCACAUUAUCUGAAACAUGUUGUAUAGUAAUGUUGUAUAACAUGUUAUGUUAUAUAGUCUGUACGCACCUUAACACGGCGGCUUUGAUGAGAACAAUCAGUCGCCGCGUCUACUGACUGUGUUUCCUGUUUUCCGACGGCGAGGUGUCGGGUUGCCAGUUGCAGGGUUUGGUACAUUUGGUUGCCCUGCUAUUGAACCUUCUAUGGUACCAACACAUAUCUCGAUUUCUAGGCGCUGGCAUCGCACAGGAGUACACCUGGUGGCUGGGACCUGAUAUCUCUGAUGUAGAUCCAAUAUCAGUCAGUUUCUGCUAAAGAGCUGCAUUCUCCAGUGUCAGCUGUUGUGAUCGCUGUUCUAAUUUCCUAUCAGCCAUUAUACCACACGACCAAGCAAGAUGAAAUAAUAAAUAAAAUAAAAAAAGAAGUAAGUCAAAAAAUUUGGUAGCUGUGAGAGGUACCAGUGGCAGAUCACACGGUUAGUAUACAGGUAAGCUAAACUAUAAACAUAUAAGUUGUCAUAUCAUAUAAAUAUAACAAAUAACAAUAUAUGCACAAUAAAAUAGUUGAAGCUUUUUGUAAAUGCGACAAAUGACUCGUGAAAG